This 376-nucleotide ribosomal RNA is filed under the name Cryptotermes sp. VT-2014. RNAcentral describes it as "partial large subunit ribosomal RNA". Lineage: Eukaryota; Metazoa; Arthropoda; Insecta; Blattodea; Kalotermitidae. The record is from RNAcentral.
CUCUUCUUGUUUUUAUUUGAAGUAUGGCCUGCCCACUGAUGUUAUUGAAGGGCCGCGGUAUUUUGACCGUGCAAAGGUAGCAUAAUCAUUAGUUCUUUAAUUGUGAACUGGUAUGAAUGGUUUGACGAGGCAUAAUCUGUCUUUGAUUUGAAUUGUUGUUGAAUUUAUUGUUUGGGUAAAAAUGCUCAAAUUUUAUUAUGGGACGAGAAGACCCUAUAGAGUUUAAUGUUGAUGCACUUAUUUUUGUUUGUCUAUUGUGUUGGGUGCAAUCAGUAUUUUGUUGGGGUGAUGGGAAGAUAUAAUUAACUCUUCUUUUAUUGUUUCACUUAUUUGUGUUUUUAUGAUCCUUUAUUAUUGAUUGUAAGAUCAAAUUACC